CCUGGAAGGGAGCAUCAUAGAGGGUGACAAUCCCGUCUUUGACACGGAGUAGGCCAGGGCUUCAUGUGAAGUGCUCUCGACGAGUCGAGUUGUUUGGGAAUGCAGCUCUAAAUGGGUGGUAAAUUCCAUCUAAAGCUAAACAUGGGCGAGAGACCGAUAGCGAACAAGUACCGUGAGGGAAAGAUGAAAAGAACUUUGAAAAGAGAGUUAAACAGUAUGUGAAAUUGCUGAAAGGGAAACGCUUGACGUCAGUCGCGUCGGCUGGGGAUCAACCUGGGGGGUUUGACUGGGCGUACUUCCUGGCUGACGGGUCAGCGUCAGUUUCGUUCGCUGUACAAGGGCCAGAGAAAUGUAGCACUCCUCGGAGUGUGUUUUAUAGUCUUUGGUCGAAUGCAACGAAAGGGACUGAGGGGGACUUGGCACAGACCCGAGAGGGACUCUCGUGCUUUCGGACGUUGGCAUAAUGGCGUCAAGCGACCCGUCUUGAAACACGGACCAAGGAGUCUAACAUGCAUGCAAGUAUUUGGGUGGGCAAACUCGAGUGCGCAACGAAAGUGAAGGUCGAGACCUCCGUCGUGGAGGGCAUCGACGCCCAGACUAGAGUCCGUCGGACAAAGGAUCUGA
Molecule: ribosomal RNA, 624 nt
Filed under: Austroboletus yourkae
Lineage: Eukaryota; Fungi; Basidiomycota; Agaricomycetes; Boletales; Boletaceae
Description: Austroboletus sp. AW-2021a partial large subunit ribosomal RNA
Rfam family: Eukaryotic large subunit ribosomal RNA
Source: RNAcentral